CUCUGCUCCCCAUCCACCAGUUGCCUCUCUCUCGCAGCCAGGCGCUCGGUGCCCCCGCCUCCUCCUCCUCUGAGCGUGCAGCCGCUAGCCGGUCGCGCAUCCGGCCGGCGCUCGCUGCCCCGUCUCCUCCUCCACGCGCGCAGCCCGGCCGCCGCCUCCUCCUCCUCUGGGGCUGGAUCCGUGCCUCAAAGAGAAGGCACCAACGGCGGCGGAGGUGGGGCUGGGGCCGAGGAGGUACCGCAGCCCAACGGCGCUCGGCGGCAGCGUGGUGCAUCUAUGGGACCAGGUCGCGGGGGGUGGGUUGACGCCGACGGCGAGCCGGCGGCGGAGGGGCCGGGUCAUCGCUACCGCCCCGGGUUUCUGAACUCUUGCAGAGAUGGUGAUAGUCGACAAGGUGGGAGGGAGGACAGCACACCCCAGCAAGCAACAUCUAGGAGGUCAAAUAUCUGUGGAUCUCAUCCAAUCCUCAAAGGAAUCAUUUUGAUGGCCUGGGCAAGGAAGUUCGCUGUGGUUUGUAGUGAGAUGAGGGUAAUUUUGAGUCUAGAUAAUUUUGGUAACUGAUAGUGACUUGUGUAUUUAGAUGCAUGGGUUUACUCGAGGAUUAUAUUGUAGGUAAUGAUUUUUUUAUCUCGGAGAUAAGCCAUUUUAUUUCUUAUGAAAAUGAGAUGUUGCUUUUGAUGUAUGUGCUAAGAUGAGUUGGCAAAAUAUAUGGUUAAUUAACUGUAUGUGUGCAUAAUUUAAAA
Molecule: long non-coding RNA, 743 nt
Organism: Panicum virgatum (switchgrass)
Lineage: Eukaryota; Viridiplantae; Streptophyta; Magnoliopsida; Poales; Poaceae
Exons: 3
Source: RefSeq, a predicted model, not a curated record